GCAUAUCAAUACACCGGAGG
This 20-nucleotide ribosomal RNA is filed under the name Pulsatilla tongkangensis. Its description in RNAcentral is "partial 26S ribosomal RNA". Lineage: Eukaryota; Viridiplantae; Streptophyta; Magnoliopsida; Ranunculales; Ranunculaceae. The record is from RNAcentral.